Molecule: ribosomal RNA, 465 nt
Filed under: uncultured bacterium
Lineage: Bacteria
Description: partial 16S ribosomal RNA
Rfam family: Bacterial small subunit ribosomal RNA
Source: RNAcentral
GACGAACGCUGGCGGCGUGCUUAACACAUGCAAGUCGAACGGAAAGGCCCUGCCUGCAGGGUACUCGAGUGGCGAACGGGUGAGUAACACGUGGGUGAUCUGCCCUGCACUUCGGGAUAAGCCUGGGAAACUGGGUCUAAUACCGGAUAGGAGCCAUUUUUAGUGUGAUGGUUGGAAAGUUUUUUCGGUGUAGGAUGAGCUCGCGGCCUAUCAGCUUGUUGGUGGGGUAAUGGCCUACCAAGGCGGCGACGGGUAGCCGGCCUGAGAGGGUGGACGGCCACAUUGGGACUGAGAGACGGCCCAGACUCCUACGGGAGGCAGCAGUGGGGAAUAUUGCACAAUGGGCGCAAGCCUGAUGCAGCGACGCCGCGUGGGGGAUGACGGCCUUCGGGUUGGAAACUCCUUUCGCUAGGGACGAAGCUUUUUGUGACGGUACCUAGAGAAGAAGCACCGGCUAACUACGUG